CCGUUCCUCGUUGGGGGCUCUCUUCGUGCAGCGAUGGAGGUUCCCAGCCCCUCCUCUGCUUCGUUCUACGGGGAGGAUGAGGCGCCCCUGCCUCGCGUGGCCCGCGCCCGCAACCCUCUGCCUCGCGCGCCCGUUCCAGCGGUGCGUUGACCUCCAGCAUCGACAGCACCUAGCCCAGCAGCCUCCAAGGCCCAGCCAGACCCGCCGACCUGCUACUUCCAUCGGCCGGGCCAAGGCCCAUGGGUGAGGCCACCCCGGAGCGCCCUCCCUUUUCCCCCCGGCUAUCGGGUCAUUCAGAUUCAGCCCGCUUACAUUUUUUUCAGAUCGGCGAAUUUUUCUAUUAACCAGGGUUUUGCCAGUUUUGCAAAGACACCCUUGCACUUCAUGCAUAUCCUAACUAAUUAACCGUGCAUCGGUUUAAAACAAACUUUAUAUGUAAAAUGUCUAGAAUUUUGUCUAGUUUAAUAAUAUCCAACUUUCAUCUAUGUUUAAAAUGUUUAAAAUGCUGCUUGCGUAAUUUUGUCCAUAUGCCAUGUUAAAAUGCUUUAAUUCAUAACUUAAUAACCGUAGCUCGGUUUUUAAUAAACUUUAUAUGUAAAUGGGGUAGAAAAAUGCAUAGAUUAUCAUGGUGGCUUUACUUUGCAUGUUUAAAAACUCUGAAAUAUGGUUUAGGGCAGAACAGUACCAAAACCUAAAAUAUGCACAUGAGGAGUUUCCGGACUUGUUGUUCGUUGUUCUGGCCUCAUUUAAACUUGCCUAGAUAGGUAGUUUUCAUUUGCUUCAUCUCUUGUCAUGAUAAUCAACAUUUAAUAUUGUUGAGUACUUAAACGGGAGAGAACUAAAUAAUUGUUGUGGUGUUUUGUUAAUAUGCAACUCGUUGCAUAUUGAGCUCCACUUAAUUGGUAGUAUUGGUUGUGCACUUUGCCAUGCCAUGCUUCAUUAAACCGGACAUGCAUCAUACUUGGUUGUGCAUCAUGCCAUAUUUAUAUGAUGGUUGUUUAGUAUGUUGUUUGCUUCUUUCCGGUGUUGCUUCUUCGGGUUAGUUCUGAUAAUGUCGCGUUUGUGAGGAUCUGUUCGACUACGUCUGUUUGUCUUCUUCAUGGACUCGUUCUUCUUCCUUGCAGGAUUUCAGGCAAGAUGACCAUACCCUCGAAAUCACUUUUAUCUUUGCUUGCUAGUUGCUCGCUCUAUUGCUAUGCCACGAUACCUACCACUUGCUAUAUCAUGCCUCCCAUAUUGCCAUGUCAAGCCUCUAACCCACCUUUUCCUAGCAAACCGUUGUUUGGCUAUGUUACCGCUUUGCUCAGCCCCUCUUAUAGCGUUGCUAGUUGCAGGUGAAGAUGGAGUUUGUUCCAUGUUGGAACAUGUAUAUGUUUGGAUAUCACAAUAUCUCUUAAUUAAUUUAAUUCAUCUAUAUACUUGGUAAAGGGUGGAAGGCUCGGGCUUAUGCCUGGUGUUUUGUUCCACUCUUGCCGCCCUAGUUUCUGUCAUACCGAUGUUAUGUUCCUUGAUUUUGCGUUCCUUACACGGUUGGGUGUUAUGGGGACCCCUUGACAAUUUGUUUUGAAUAAAACUCCUCCAGCAAGUCCCAACCUUGGGUUUACCAUUUGCCUCAUCACCACCUACUUUUCCCUUGGGAGUCAUGCUCCCAAGGGUCAUCUUUAUUUUAACCCCCUCGGGCCAGUGCUUGUCUAAGUGUUGGUCCGAACCGGGCAGCAUGCGGGGCCACCUCGGGGAAACUUGAGGGCUGGUUUUACUCGUAGCUUGACCUAUCCGGUGUUGCCCUGAGAACGAGAUAUGUGCAGCUCCUAUCAGGAUGUCUGCACAUCGGGCGGUCUUGCUAGUCUUGUUUUACCAUUGUCGAAAUGUCUUGUAACCGGGAUUCCGAGUCUGAUCGGAUCUUCCUAGGAGAAGGAAUAUCCUUCGUUGACCGUGAGAGCUUGUGAUGGGCUAAGUUGGGACACCCCUGUAGGGUUUUGAACUUUCGAAAGUUGUACCCGCGGUUAUGGGUAGAUGAGAAUUUGUUAAUGUUAGGUUGUAAAAAACUUGAAACUUGACUUAAUUAAAAUGCAUCAACCGCGUGUGUAGUUGUGAUGGUCUCUUUCCGGCGGAGUCCGGGAAGUGAACACGGUUCUUGUGUUAUGCUUGAACGUAAGUAGUUUCAGGAUCACUUAUUGAUCACUUCUAGUUCACGACCGUUGCUUUGGUUCUCUUCUCGCUCUUAUUUGCGUAUGUUAGCCACCAUUUAUGCUAGUGCUUGUUGCAACUCCACCUCACUACCUUUUUCCUACCGAUAAGCUUAAAUAGUCUUGAUCUCGCGGGUGUGAGAUUGCUGAGUCCUCAUGGCUCAUAGUUACUUCCAAAAAAACAGUUGCAGGUGCCGAUGAUACCAGUGCAAGUGAUGCAACCGAGCUCAAGGAGGAGCUCGAUGAAGUUCGUGUUCGUUGUGUUGUUUCGUUUAUUUUCGAUCAGUAGUGGAGCCCAGUUGGGGCGAUCGGGGAUCUAACAUUUGGCGUUGUCUUUAUUUUGGUUCCGUAGUUGGACCUUGAUUUGUAUUCUGGAUGAUGUAAUGCUAUAUUUACGUAUUGUGCGAAGUGGCGAUUGUAAGCCAACUCUUUAUCCCUUUCUUAUUCAGUACAUGGGAUGUGUAAAG
Molecule: long non-coding RNA, 2653 nt
Filed under: Triticum aestivum (bread wheat)
Lineage: Eukaryota; Viridiplantae; Streptophyta; Magnoliopsida; Poales; Poaceae
Description: long non-coding RNA (TAES_LNC025519)
Source: RNAcentral